CCUACGGGAGGCAGCAGUGGGGAAUAUUGCACAAUGGGGGAAACCCUGAUGCAGCCAUGCCGCGUGUGUGAAGAAGGCCUUCGGGUUGUAAAGCACUUUCAGUAGGGAGGAAGGUAGUGUAGUUAACACCUGCACUAUUUGACGUUACCUACAGAAGAAGCACCGGCUAACUCCGUGCCAGCAGCCGCGGUAAU
This 194-nucleotide ribosomal RNA is filed under the name uncultured bacterium. Its description in RNAcentral is "partial 16S ribosomal RNA". It matches the Rfam family "Bacterial small subunit ribosomal RNA", at positions 338 to 524 of the family's 1533-position model. The record is from RNAcentral.